AGUGAACGCUGGCGGUAGGCCUAACACAUGCCAGUCGAACGGCAGCACAGUAAGAGCUUGCUCUUACGGGUGGCGAGUGGCGGACGGGUGAGGAAUACAUCGGUAUCUCCUUUUUCGUGGGGGUUAACGUAGGGAAACUUACGCUAAUACCGCAUACGACCUACGGGUGACAGCAGGGGAUCUUCGGACCUUGCGCGAUUGAAUGAGCCGAUGUCGGAUUAGCUAGUUGGCGGGGUAAAGGCCCACCAAGGCGACGAUCCGUAGCCGGUCUGAGGGGAUGAUCAGCCACACUGGAAGUGAGACAGGGUCCAGACUCCUACGGGGGGCAGCAGUGGGGAAUAUUGGACGAUGGGCGCAAGCCUGAUCCAGCCAUACCGCGUGGGUGAAGAAGGACUUCGGGUGGUAAAGCGCUUUUGUUGGGAAAGAAAAGCAGCAGGUUAAUACCCCGCUGUUCUGACGGUACCCAAAGAAUAAGCACCGGCUAACUUCGUG
RNAcentral lists this ribosomal RNA (492 nucleotides) under uncultured bacterium. RNAcentral's name for it is "partial 16S ribosomal RNA". It matches the Rfam family "Bacterial small subunit ribosomal RNA", at positions 29 to 507 of the family's 1533-position model. The record is from RNAcentral.